CCCAGACAGCCAGGAUGUUGGCUUAGAAGCAGCCAUCAUUUAAAGAAAGCGUAAUAGCUCACUGGUCGAGUCGGCCUGCGCGGAAGAUGUAACGGGGCUAAACCAUGCACCGAAGCUGCGGCAGCGAACGUAUCACCCAAGACAACUUUACGGAGUUGACGAUUGACGGAGCGAAGCGACGUCAAAGCGUUCAUUAAAGUCGAGUUGGCUUAGGGAUACGUUCGUUGGGUAGGGGAGCGUUCUGUAAGCCUGCGAAGGUGACCUGUGAGGGUUGCUGGAGGUAUCAGAAGUGCGAAUGCUGACAUAAGUAACGAUAAAGCGGGUGAAAAGCCCGCUCGCCGGAAGACCAAGGGUUCCUGUCCAACGUUAAUCGGGGCAGGGUGAGUCGACCCCUAAGGC
RNAcentral lists this ribosomal RNA (399 nucleotides) under Salmonella enterica. RNAcentral's name for it is "partial 23S ribosomal RNA". It matches the Rfam family "Bacterial large subunit ribosomal RNA", at positions 1084 to 1397 of the family's 2925-position model. The record is from RNAcentral. RNAcentral also lists the same sequence under 2 other names. Lineage: Bacteria; Pseudomonadati; Pseudomonadota; Gammaproteobacteria; Enterobacterales; Enterobacteriaceae.